Molecule: small nucleolar RNA, 72 nt
Organism: Balaenoptera musculus (blue whale)
Lineage: Eukaryota; Metazoa; Chordata; Mammalia; Artiodactyla; Balaenopteridae
Source: Ensembl
UGGAUCAAUGAUGACUACCCAUGGCGUAAGAGUCGUGUACGAUGAAUACGUGUCUGGAACUCUGAGGUCCAA